Molecule: long non-coding RNA, 2190 nt
Filed under: Setaria viridis
Lineage: Eukaryota; Viridiplantae; Streptophyta; Magnoliopsida; Poales; Poaceae
Description: long non-coding RNA (SVIR_LNC007321)
Source: RNAcentral
CCGCCACCUCCGCAAUCCUCUUUCGCCUGAAUCCCAAGCCCUUGCGCCCCCCGCUCGAGCUCGAACCCUAGCGCAAGGCCGCCGCCGUCGAUCUCCCUCGUCGCUGCCUUCCAGUCGACGAGAAGCGGCUCAGGAGCUAGGUAAGGAGGUGAGGAAGCUAUCCGUCCAGGUCCCGUGCGUCCGCAUGCUGUUUCUCGCUUGCUUUGGCUCGCCGGAGUUGCCGUGGCCUCGCCGGGCCGCCUCACCGGGCAUAGCGCCUUCGCCGCCGCGUAAUCGACCUCCACAACACCCUAGCUUAGUUAGCGUGCUUCCCAGCUUGAUCCAGAGCCAAAUCCCCUCGCAAACUGUGGCCGGACGCUCGUUAUAGAGCAAGUUCCGGUGAGAUCGCCGCCCGCCGCCGCCGUGCGCCGCCUGCCUCCGCCGCUCGGGCGCCGCCGCCAGCAGUCUGCCGCCGCCGGCCGUCGGAUCGUGAGCUAGCGGCCCAGAUCGAAUCCGACACGGAGUCAAACCGGUCGCGUACCGGUCAACCCAGCCGCUCCGCCGCAUUUUUGCUAAAGAGACCCCAUCUUUCUUAGUUUUUGCAACCGCCGCUAGAGCAGUUCGAAACUAAUUAGAAUUACAUCCUUUUUCUUCUGUUCUAGGCCCUGCUCUCUCGUGAAAUCGUGCCCGAAGUCCUGUUUUAGCUGUUUUGCUCGUUAGACCUUAGGUUUAUGCCCUUAAUUAUGUUUAUACCCUAAUUUUCUCGCAGACAUGCCCUGAACCUUGUUUAGCUCAUAUCUUUAGCGUUUUAAAUCCAUUUUGAAUGAUUCUUGCACCUAUGAGUUCGUGUCGACGCAAAGAACAAUUUCAUGAUCUUGCUUUUCUUUGUUGCUAUUGUUUAGUGUAUUAUUUUCUUAUUUUAUUCUGUUGUGUGCUUGAAUGUACUUGUUUGAUGCGCUUAGAAGGAUCGCAGUUCAAGGGAUUUGAAGAACAAGCCUUUGAAGACCUUGAGCAGCAGGAGCAAGUUCAGGAAGGCAAGUCGUGUCCUUGAUGACAAUUUGAGCCUAUACGCCCUUGAAUUUUAUGUUCAUUCACAUGCUAUGCACUUUUACGAUUAAACAUGAUGGGUCCUAUCUAAGGAGUGCCUAAUCUUAAUCCUUAUACCUUGUUUACCUGGAUCUUACUUUAUGUUGGGUAAGUUGCUCAACUUGGAUAUGGUGGUAUUAAUGAAGCAAUGAUUAAACUUGUUUUAUUUAUACUAUACCUUUCAUUAAUACAAGAUCACAUACUUAAUUGGAACAUGGAGUGAUCACCUAGGAAAAUAGUGCAAUCACAAGACUAACGGGCUCUAGUCUUGGCUAAUUAAUUAGAAACCUUAAUCUAUAGUAAUCUUACCGAAAGGGUGAGAGGGGCAGCAGCAGACGAGGUAUAACCCGGCCCUCAGGCUGAUCUGCUCUAUGGCAGCUUCGCAGUCCUGAGAAAGGUUUAUGCUUUGCUACUAAUUCGGAAACCUUAGUGGGUUGCUACUUAUUAGGGAAUCUUUGUGAAGGCCUCGUAGUGAAUCCCAUGCCACUCACCUCAGAAGUGUUUAAGGGAGUAAUUGACCUGGGCAUCUUGGGAAACACGACUUGUGGGUAAAAGAUGUCCAACCUCUGCAGAGUCUCUAAAACUAAUUGAUCAGCCGUGCUCACGGUCAAGAGCGGCCUGGACCCUCGCAUGAUUAAUCUAUCGGAAGUUGAACUAAAUCAUUGUUAUUUAUGUUACUUAUUGCUAUUUUAUUUAUCUAUGUUCAUGCUUAAUGUGGAUGGUAUAACUUAUACUUAGUAUUUGCUAAUAGAAUUUGAUCAACCAAUUAAAAUGCUGACAUGCUAUUAAACCUUAGCCUAUCCUUGCAUUGCCUUACACUACACAUUCCCCAUGCUUGUUAAGUACCAACCAUAAGUGUACUCACGCUUGCUAAAACCGCUGCUCAGACAAGACAAUUUUGAGGAGGUUCUUGAAGACUUUGAGGAGUUCUAGGCGUACGUGUGCCCCCACUUGACUGCCUGUGGAGUCGUCGUCAUCAUUGGAGUUCCGCUGCUAAAAUAAAGACUCAUUUGCUAUUCGAUUUAAAGACUUUCGGGCAUGUAAUAAAUUUAAUACUCUUUUUACAUUUUGACACCGUUUAUGGUAUUUACUGAAGUCAUUGCAUAUGUGAAACUUGAUUCUGGC